AUUUAUGUCUCACUGGCAGAAGUGUGCAUAUAGACUUCAAUUUUACAGUAUAAAGUGAAGAGAGUUUAAAAAUGAAGCCAAGUACCAUUUUGAGCUAUCUUACAACAUUCCUGACAUUUCAAUGCAGUUGGAGUCAGACGCUGACUGAAUCUGAACCUGUUGUCAUUAAACCUGGAGGAUCUCAUAAACUGACCUGUACUGCAUCUGGCUUUACCUUCAGUAGCUACUGGAUGGCUUGGAUCAGACAAGCUCCUGGAAAAGGACUGGAUUUUGUUGCAACUAUUGAGUAUGACAGUGAUAAUAAGUUUUACUCCAGUGCUGUUGAAGGAAGGUUUACUGCCUCCAGAGACAACAGUAAGAAUCAGGUGUAUCUGCAUAUGAGCAAUCUGAAGAAUGAAGACACAGCGGUGUAUUACUGUGCCAGACACCCACAGAGACAAAAGAGAUUGUGGCCCUGA
Non-coding RNA from Triplophysa dalaica, 458 nucleotides. The record is from the annotation of a RefSeq genome assembly. Lineage: Eukaryota; Metazoa; Chordata; Actinopteri; Cypriniformes; Nemacheilidae.